UCCAUUUUGAGGUGGAGUCUGAAGAAAGCCUAAUGCAAACUCUCGGCUUGACAAACAAAAAUCACAUAUAAGGUAGUGCGAAGCGGACGAGCUUGAGCACAAAGUAAAGUCAAAUCCUGUCCGAAUUUUGCGGUGUAAGUGUGGCAAGUAGAUGAGAGGAAAGUCAUUAUU
Molecule: non-coding RNA, 171 nt
Organism: Peptostreptococcaceae bacterium AS15
Lineage: Bacteria; Bacillati; Bacillota; Clostridia; Peptostreptococcales; Peptostreptococcaceae
Source: Rfam